GAAUCUUCCGCAAUGGACGAAAGUCUGACGGAGCAACGCCGCGUGAGUGAUGAAGGUUUUCGGAUCGUAAAGCUUUGUUGCCAGGGAAGAACGCUUGGGAUAGUAACUGCUCCCAAUGUUACGGUACCUGAAAAGAACGCCCCGGCUACCUACGUCCCAGCAGCCGCGGUAAUACGUAGGGGGCAAGCGUUGUCCGGAAUUAUUGGGCGUAAAGCGGGCGCAGGCGGCCUUGUAAGUCUGUUGUGUAAACUUGGGGCUCAACCCCAAGGCGCAAUGGAAACUGCAAAGCUUGAGUACAGAAGAGGAAAGUGGAAUUCGACGUGUAGCGGUGAAAUGCGUAGAGAUGUGGAGGGACACCAGUGGCGAGGGCGACUUUCUGGGCUGUAACUGACGCUGAGGCGCGAAAGCGUGGGGAGCAAACA
RNAcentral lists this ribosomal RNA (422 nucleotides) under uncultured bacterium. RNAcentral's name for it is "partial 16S ribosomal RNA". It matches the Rfam family "Bacterial small subunit ribosomal RNA", at positions 359 to 774 of the family's 1533-position model. The record is from RNAcentral.